Molecule: ribosomal RNA, 265 nt
Filed under: uncultured Candidatus Sumerlaeota bacterium
Lineage: Bacteria; Candidatus Sumerlaeota
Description: partial 16S ribosomal RNA
Rfam family: Bacterial small subunit ribosomal RNA
Source: RNAcentral
CCAUCAGUUCGGCUGGGCGACUCUAUGGAGACUGCCACCUAAAGUGGAGGAAGGUGGGGAGUGACGUCAAGUCAGCAUGGCCCUUACGUCCGGGGCUACACACGUGCUACAAUGGCCGGUACAAAGGGUUGCGAAGCCGUGAGGUGGAGCGAAUCUCAAAAAGCCGGCCUCAGUUCGGAUUGGAGGCUGCAACUCGCCUCCAUGAAGUCGGAAUCGCUAGUAACCGCAGAUCAGCUACGUUGCGGUGAAUACGUUCCCGGGCCUU